CCUGAGAAACCCAAAAGAUCGAAUGGGGAGAUUCAUCGUCAGCUCAUUUUGUAUAUGUAGAAGUUAUGAUGCGAGUUACUCUUGUAGUAUUGCUUGUACAUACUUUUAUAUUUAUUUGCAAGAUGUUGUCGGCGUGCACUUCUUCCCUAGUAGGACGUCGCGACCCGUUGGGUGUUGGUCUACGGCCCGAGUGGUAGCCUUUAUAGUUGAAAAACUUUAAAGACCCUUGGUGUUUUCUGACCGGCUACCCGACGGUAUUCGUACGGUAUUUAGCCGCAUUUAUGUGCGUCCAUAUCCGUCGCAAGCGAGGCUAGUUUCUGGCAGUGCGGACCUAGUGCCGUCGUUGGAGCUCGCCAGCUGUUGGCUGUUACGGUAAUCUAGGACUGGCUAAAAAUUAUUACCGGUCUGCGAUGCUACUGCUUUGGGUACUUUCAGGACCCGUCUUGAAACACGGACCAAGGAGUCUAACAUGUGCGCGAGUCAUUGGGAUUUUUUAAAUUAAACCUAAAGGCGCAAUGAAAGUAAAGGUCGUCCUUGCGUCGACCGAGGGAGGAUAAGUUGUAUCAAGAUACAGCUUCGCACUCCCGGGGCGUCUCAUUCUCAUUGCGAGAAG
This 613-nucleotide ribosomal RNA is filed under the name Barbalhoa sp. ALW-2011. Its description in RNAcentral is "eukaryotic LSU rRNA". It matches the Rfam family "Eukaryotic large subunit ribosomal RNA", at positions 386 to 786 of the family's 3401-position model. Lineage: Eukaryota; Metazoa; Arthropoda; Insecta; Hymenoptera; Braconidae. The record is from RNAcentral.